UGAGUCGUCCUUUAACUCAUACCAUUCUGGUCUGAAGGACUCGUACAUACACCACAGAGCCCAGUCAAAGGCGUCCGCAGCAGGAUCAAAUUGAAACAUUGGGCAUCGAAGCUGUUCUGGACGCUUGUGGUGGCCUCAUGUUAACAUGUUGGGUACCAGAGUCAAUGAAAAACACCCCACGACUGUUCCACGACCUCAAA
Plectropomus leopardus (leopard coralgrouper) is the source of this 200-nucleotide long non-coding RNA. RefSeq lists it as uncharacterized. The record is from RefSeq and is a predicted model, not a curated record. NCBI's taxonomy places the organism in Eukaryota, Metazoa, Chordata, Actinopteri, Perciformes, Serranidae.